CUUUGGCCGCCCGAGUUGUAAUUUAGAGAAGCGUCUUCCGCGCUGGACCGUGCACAAGUCUCCUGGAAUGGAGCGUCAUAGAGGGUGAGAAUCCCGUCUUUGGCACGGAUGC
This 112-nucleotide ribosomal RNA is filed under the name Lactarius rimosellus. RNAcentral describes it as "partial large subunit ribosomal RNA". Lineage: Eukaryota; Fungi; Basidiomycota; Agaricomycetes; Russulales; Russulaceae. The record is from RNAcentral.